This 90-nucleotide unclassified non-coding RNA is filed under the name Pseudomonas mediterranea. Lineage: Bacteria; Pseudomonadati; Pseudomonadota; Gammaproteobacteria; Pseudomonadales; Pseudomonadaceae. The record is from RNAcentral.
GGUGGGAGCGAGCCUGCUCGCGAUGGCGUCGGCACAUCCGGCAUCAAUGCAAGCUGACCCACCGCAAUCGCGAGCAGGCUCGCUCCCACA